Molecule: long non-coding RNA, 1646 nt
Organism: Cebus imitator (Panamanian white-faced capuchin)
Lineage: Eukaryota; Metazoa; Chordata; Mammalia; Primates; Cebidae
Exons: 3
Source: RefSeq, a predicted model, not a curated record
ACUUCUGAAGAAGCCCCGCUGUCUCCCUAGGCCUAGCCCGUGAGGGUGUGGCCUUUGUGUGCUCCGGAGAUGCACCAGGAGCCUGAGCACAGGGAAUCCCCGUUCUGCUCCUUGGGGCUCUGAAGUUUGCCACUGCUAGGCAGAGAGCUAGCUUCUCCAGGGGUGCCCCAGAAUAGGAGGGACUGACCUCGGUGUUUCUCCCGGAAGCCCUGGCGAGUCUGCGUUUCCUCCCAUGUGGCCAAGGCGAGGGACCCAGAAAAAAGAACUGCUCUGAAUUUUGCUUUUUCCCAACUGGUAUAAGGGAGCAGCAGUCCUCUAUAAGGCAACUGCGGAGAAAGUAAGAAAAGUCUGCACGUGGGAGGUCUGAAAAGGGAGGACCUAAAGGUUGUACAGGGUUCCAAACCCACUCAACCACCAAAUGUUUCCCUGUAGGGUUACUAGGAACCAGGAAUCCACUCCGAGCCAAAGGUACCUCUGGGAGAGGAGCAUGCACCUCCUCAGAGAGAGAGGGGUUAAAUGAGGUGCUCACUGGCCUUGGCAGUCACUGGGUCCCCACCCGGAAAUGGGGGGCUUGGUGGCUAAAAGGGAGGGGGAGGUUGUCUCUUAGAAACAGCUGACUGCGCCCCCUCCCGCAAACGGUCUUGCACUCCAGAUUGCUGGGGUGCAAAGAAGAAAAGAGCCUCCCUUUCAAGCAUUCGCCACGGCAUCUGGAACACCAGAACAAUCUACCUGGAAACAGCAAGCUCCUAGAGGCAGGAUGAGCACUGCUGGGUCCCAAACCCUCGCCUCAGGAGCCAGAGCUGCGGGGAGUGGAAAGUCGACUGGCAAGAACACACACGGAGAAAUGGGCAGAUGCAUCUGGCAAGGGGGCUGGGGGAAGGACGCAUGCAAGAACUAAACCUGCAACUUGCACAGCACGGGAAAUGGAAAUGCAUUCCUCUGAGCCCAGGAAUUGAGUUUCUGAAAUCUGAAUUGUUGGGGUGCCUGAAACUCUGCUGUCUAAUGGAUGAAUGGGAUCAAAACAUGAAGAUAUGAUUACCAUGAAUCCUUUGUACAAUGUGUUCCACUUAACUAUUAAUAACAGACCACCCUAAAAUACUUCUUGGCUUAAAAUAACAGCCAUCAUUUAUUUAGCCUGAAUUUAGAAUUUGGACAAGGCUCACUGAGGAAAGCGUACCUCUGAUCCACUUCUCACAUGGUUUGCCAUAUACCUGACAGGCUGUGUUGGUUGUUGGCUCUGGGUUGAGCACUCGACAGGCACUGAAAACCAGGGACCUUAGUUUCUCUCCAUGCGGGGCUUUCCAUGUGCAUUACGCCACAGAUUCUCAAAGACUUCCUCACCGCAUAGUGGUUGGGUUCACCAGGAGAGCUCCAACAGUGAUCAGACCCUUUCCAAAUAAUGAAAACCUGAACAGUUUAGCCUUACCAAACAUACAAAUUCAUCCAGUCUUCAAACGAUAUCGUAAAUGGUAGCCCAGAUCAUACCAGGCAAAUUGAACCAGUGAACUAACUAAUCAUUUGAACUAUUUAGGCAAAUGGAUCAAUUUUUCUUUCACUUAUUGAGAUAAGCGCAUCAACAAAUGGAGUUGUAGUCAAUUAAAUGAAUUCAUAAUAUUUUCUAUAUUAAAAAGGUAAUGAUGACUUCA